ACCAAUGAUGAUUUGUCUGCAAAAUGGAUGUGUUGUGAAACCAAGACCCUGUUUGUAGGGAGAACCUACUUGGGGAAGCAUCACUAAUAUGACAUCAACAGAUAUGUCUGAGGU
Small nucleolar RNA from Dendrobium catenatum, 114 nucleotides. RefSeq annotates it as small nucleolar RNA Z278. The record is from RefSeq and is a predicted model, not a curated record. NCBI's taxonomy places the organism in Eukaryota, Viridiplantae, Streptophyta, Magnoliopsida, Asparagales, Orchidaceae. The transcript has a single exon.